GAUGAACGCUGGCGGCGUGCCUAAUACAUGCAAGUCGAGCGAACAGACGAGGAGCUUGCUCCUCUGACGUUAGCGGCGGACGGGUGAGUAACACGUGGAUAACCUACCUAUAAGACUGGGAUAACUUCGGGAAACCGGAGCUAAUACCGGAUAAUAUAUUGAACCGCAUGGUUCAAUAGUGAAAGACGGUUUUGCUGUCACUUAUAGAUGGAUCCGCGCCGCAUUAGCUAGUUGGUAAGGUAACGGCUUACCAAGGCAACGAUGCGUAGCCGACCUGAGAGGGUGAUCGGCCACACUGGAACUGAGACACGGUCCAGACUCCUACGGGAGGCAGCAGUAGGGAAUCUUCCGCAAUGGGCGAAAUCCUGACGCAGCAACGCCGCGUGAGUGAUGAAGUUCUUCGGAUCGUAAAACUCUGUUAUUAGGGAAGAACAAAUGUGUAAGUAACUAUGCACGUCUUGACGGUACCUAAUCAGAAAGCCACGGCUAACUACGUG
This 497-nucleotide ribosomal RNA is filed under the name uncultured bacterium. RNAcentral's name for it is "partial 16S ribosomal RNA". It matches the Rfam family "Bacterial small subunit ribosomal RNA", at positions 28 to 507 of the family's 1533-position model. The record is from RNAcentral.